This is a long non-coding RNA of Ostrinia nubilalis (European corn borer), 6608 nucleotides long. RefSeq lists it as uncharacterized. The record is from RefSeq and is a predicted model, not a curated record. NCBI's taxonomy places the organism in Eukaryota, Metazoa, Arthropoda, Insecta, Lepidoptera, Crambidae. The transcript has 2 exons.
ACGUGUCCUACCUCAUCGAGCGCCGCGUGGCCGCGCACCAGCGCGCGCCGCCCAUCUCAGUCAUGCAGCGGCCCAUGGACGAAGAGGAAGAGAUCGUGGAGGAAGCCCCGGAGCCCGAACCCGAGGACGAGCAGGACUGGGACUGGGAGGACGACGACGACGACGACGACGAGCCCGACGCCAAGAAGCUCAAGCUGCCCGGCGAGCUCUAAGCAGGCUGUAGGCUGCAGGGUGACGUGACGCGGUAUGUUGUGGAAGGCAAUUUUAGCAGAAGAAAAGUCGUUUUAGGGUUGACAUUUUUGGUGUCAAAUAGGUUUCCUUAAAAAAAGACGGAUUUUUUAUUAUCCGUUUUGACAGAAAAGAUUAAAAAAAAAUUUAUUAUUACUUUUUUCUUCCCAUUUGGCGAAGUUGAAUUUGUCUUAUAUUCUUUUGGUCUCCAUAAAAUAUCUAAUCUAAUGAGGGUUUUCGCGAUUAAAAAAUCCGCCAGAUGACGGGACGUGGAUGUGGGGUCUGACUGCUGCGUGAUUGGUGGAUUUUGACAUAUCUGUCAAUGUCAUGUCAAAAAUAACCAAUCAUGCAGCAUUUGGACCUCGCGUCUACGUAUUGCCAUCUCGCGGAUUUUUCAAUCGCGAAAACCCUCAUUGAAUGGAACCACCAAUUUUAUUUACUUACAUCUCUUGUCGAGUUGUCGCCCUGAGGUUGUGUUAAAAAUUACUUCUGAACAUACUGCAAGAAACACGUGCAACGUUGCACUGGCGUUGCGUGGAGCGCUAAAGUAUUUACCGGAGCAGUUGCAAAAUUUAUAACAUAAUAGAUUUCGAAUGACAAUUUACAACAAUGUUGAUCAGCAACAUUACGUCAUUAUUCCCUAUUCACACUAGUCUUGUCACAGCUGGCAUUUAAUACUUGUGCUCCAAAUGGAAUAAUCUAGUUUGAGAGCACCAAUCAUGGCAACUGGCUCUGGUAAACACAGUUUGUAAAAUAUUGUAGUUGAAGUAUAUUUAUGUCGAUUAUGUAAUCUUUGGUGUAUUGUUUAAACGCCUUACUUAGAUCACGUGACCUACGGAGCACUAAUUCUAAUAGAAAAAGCUAAAUGAUAUUUUCCACGGCUCCUAUUUGGUCAAUGACUUUGUGCUCCUGAAAACCACAGGUCAAAUGAUCUUAGCAAGGCGAUAGCAUAUUCAAUAUGUGUGUAGUAAGUGACAGCUUGUCUGUCCGUUUCUAGUUUUAUAGGUUAAACGGGACGGGUUCCCGAUGUAGAAACCAUUAGUUCAUACGCCUGUCUCUCGUCUUUAACUCGGAACGGUUCGACGAAUCAGGGUAUACAUAUAAGGCCCAGAACAGACGGUGAAACGCAACUGCAACGAAACUGCAACUUUCUGAUGAUUCUGAUGAAUGAAAUGGAACUGAAAGUUUCAAACUGGUCGCGUCAUGUGUGGUCUCUCAACGGACGCUAUGGCAGAAACUUAGAUGCAACUCAAAAGUAACUAGCAGUUGCAGUUACGUUGCAGUUGCGUUUCACCGUCUGUUCUGGGCCUAAGACUUCUUAUAUAGACGAGCGGCUCAUAGCUGACGGCAGUGGAAAAGGCAGCUGUCGCCACCUUACGCUCAUGUAUAAGAAGCCUUACAUCUUUUUAGGGUUAACCAACUAUAGAAAAUGACUUGACGCGAGUCAGACAAAUAAGGCAGAGGCCCACUUUUAACACACUGAAUACGAGUAUAUUAAUAUUAUGUCAAUUCAAACUAAUUUUAUACGUUAGUUUUGCUUAGUGAUGGUUUAUGCAAGUGGGCCCUAAAUGUACUCUAUACCUUAUAAGUACACUACGUUUCAAAUCGAGAUAACGAUAUUGUAAACAUAUAUUAUCACUUAUUCGUAGAUUUGUAGUGAUGAAAAAGUAGGGGUUAAUUUUAGUCUAUAAUAUUGUAAAAACCACCAUCUUCAUCAUCUUAUAUCAUCAUUAGAUUAGGUUAGGUACCUAAGUACACUGCUUGUAAAAUAGCUUUGCUCACUGUAUGUCAUUAUUAAGGUUUGUUUGCCACCAAAAGCUACAAAUAUUCAAUGCCUCAUUUUCUUCGUACGCACACUCGACGAAUAGAAGUCUUUACGCAAAGACGUUUAGUUUCGCAAUUAUUUUUCUAGUCAUGCCCACAGAACAGGAAUUCGUUAAUUUUUAUAGGCUUGGUACGAUUAUGUAGGCUAUAAAUAAUAAGAAUUAAUAUAUAAAUAAAUGUAUCGUAGAUGUAGUUAACACCUUAAACAUGUAGACCCGUUACAUAUCUCAAAAUUAGGCAGCUUAUACCAUCUUAAAUUCUCUUAAAACUGUUGCGAAAGAGAUUUAAAUAAGAGGAUAUUUUCAUAUAAUUGUUUUUGAGUAUACAAAAUCUUCUCAAAAACUAAAAUCCAUGAUUUUUUUAGGUGUUAAAAUAAAGUAUUAUGCAUACAUAAUAUAAUUCUGUAGUUCUAACUUAAUAUUCGUCUAUUUAUGACUUGUGUAAGUGACAAGUCAAUAAUGUGUGUAUAAUUUUUUUAAACAUUUACGGAUGAUUCCCAGGUUAAGUAUGCCUUAUGUAUUAUGUCCAUAUUGAUAGGGAGGAUUGACCAUUCCUAUUUUUUGUAAAUGUUUCUAGAACGUAAGAUUUGGUCAUAAAGUUGAAUUCGGGAAGAAUGACGUCGUUUCUCUAUUUGAUAAAUAAACGAACGUCGCAAAUUAACUACACAAAUAACUGCAGUAUCGAAAAGAUUCUGAAUUAUUAUUGACCUAGUGUAAAUAUAACUUCAAACAUUUGUUGUUAUUGAAUUUGGAAAAUAAUGACCAUGUACGUUUGUACGUAAUUUAUAGAUGAACGAAAUUGGAUGUUAUGCUGUAAUAAGACAAAGGGGAAUGUUGAGGAAACUAAAAAAAACAUCAAUAUUUCUAAGAUCAUUCAUUAAACAAUACAGAUGGACUUCUAGAAUGACAUUUACAUCGCAAAAUUAGCCCUUACUUACUGGUAUGUGCUAGGGCCCAUAUUAUUACAAUAUUGUAUACAGGCAGAACAUCGUUUUCGGCACUCGACGCUAGCUUACUAGUGUUGUGUAAACCAAAGAACGUUCGAACUCUGUUCUAACGUACCAAAAUUUGCUCAGAAUAUUUCUAAGUAGACUUCGUGGACGGUUUUCGUCGCCCGACAACAUCCAAUGUACAUUCUGUAGGCAUGAGGUCUAGUAUCUGAAGAGUACUUUAACUCGAACGCUUAUUUUGUACAUAAUUUGGCAUAUUUCAAACCAUAGUCUUGGUUUUCUGUUUGAGUAUGCGAUCGUUAAUACUUUAGUUGAUUUUUGUUUUCGCUUGUGUUAUUGCUGUUCGCACAAAUUCUUCUAAGUGGUUAUCUUUACUUAAAUAUUCCAUCAAAUAUAUUUUGUUGCAUUUUUAACUCAUUAUUAUGUGUAACUUAUCUAAUAAGGCCUAAAUCAGUGUUUAAAUGUUUAUGUAUUAGGUGGUAAAUUUCGUAGUUAUUAUGUAUACUUAUUAUGUAUCUAUCCGUAUAUUUAAUGUCUUAUAGAGGGCUCAUAUUUGACGGUUUUCCCGAAACGUUUUUAAUUGAGGCGCUCCCUCACCGGGGGCAUUCGUGUGUAAUGUAACGUUUCAGAUUCGAGUCUAUAAUGUUACAUUACACGUGAAUGCUCCCGGUGAGGCAGCACCUUUGUGUACAGUCAGCGUCAAAUAGUGCGUGACACCCAAGUAGCCAAAAAGUUCGCAACCAUUGGAAUAAGGCGUUUGAUAGUCGUAUACCUCGAAAUCAAAAAAUCCUAGUAGCUUUUCACCUAUUCGCAUUUCGCCGCGAUAUCAAAAUUUCUGAAUAGAUUUUUAUUCUUGUAGUAUAAUUUUUGAUCGCUAAUUACAAUUGUCUAAAAAAAUCAUAGUAUGUUUACUUUCCUGCCUGUGUCGGCUUAAUAAAUAGGCUAUUGAUAAUACAUGCUACAUCAAAAUUUGCUACUGUUGUAAAAAUCUGUUAAAAAUAUAUGCUAGUAACAAAAUAUCCUACCGAUAUUACACGCUACAACAAAAAACGCUAUUACAGUGAAAUGCGAAUAGGUGAAAAGCUACAAGGAUUUUUUGAUUUCGAGGUAUACGACUAACAAACGUACAAGGUUGUGUUGUCAAUUUUAUGGCCACUUUGGGUGUAACGAACUAUUUGACGCUGACUGUACAAGCGGUGUGACGAGUAGUCGACGUAUGCGCACGUGUCAGUAUUUUUUAUCUAUACGGUAGUCUUAGCUCUUGUAUCUUGCGGACAAACCGUAUUUUUCAACGUAAACGAAGAACGUUUCACAAAAACCGCUAUGGUAUGGUCUCGCUAUUACUCGAUACCAAAGUAUGUUGCAAUUUGGAAUUACAAUAGUGAAUAAUUUAAUAUUGAUGUAGUAGCUUCAGACAGGUGCCAUAGACAGUUAUUUAUUUGUCAUGGGUUUUAAACACGCUCAUCCCGGGUGGGUUUUCAAACAUUUGCAUUGUUUCAUGUAUAGUUUGCAAAUUUUUUCGUUUUAAACGAAUAACUUUAGCUAUGCUUUUUUUAGACUUUUUUUUUGAGAUCACAUUAACUUAGUGCCCACUCGAGAAUACUGUAACUUCUUUUUAUAGGCUUUUAUUUAUAGAUUCUUAUUUCUAUUGUUCUUACUGAACGUACGGAACCUAUACUAUUAAAUUAUAUAUUUUUAUAAUUCUGGUAUUAAAUAGCAGAUAAAAACUGCCUUUGUCGUUGCCUUAAAACACGAAACAUACCUCUUAUUCAUGUUAUUUGAUGAAAACAUCUGGUUGUGUUUCAGAGCAAAUAAGUACCUACUCACGGACGUUGUGAUUAAUUUGGGAUAACUAAAGGUAACUUGAUGUCCAUUGUUAUUUAAAUAAAUUAGUGUAACUUAGUGAAACACGAGUAUUUUAUCAAUUUGACAAUAGUUUCGUGCUCACUGACAAAAGCCUUAAAGUUAGUUAACUUCCAAAUACAUAAUAUUAUUAUGUAAAUUCAUACUUUAUGGAAAUGUGAAAUCCAAUGUUGGCUUUUUAGUCCGUGCCUACAAAUUAAAUAGUUUAUUUUUUAAAUGUAAAGUACGUAAGAUCAUCCAUCAAAUUGCCUUUAUUGAGUAGUAAUAUUAUUAAACUUUUACAUUAUUUUUUGUCAGUUAUAUUGAAAAGGUUUAUUUAUAUUUUUGCAUUGUGUAUAUUUUUGCGGAAUUGCACUAGAUGAUAAGGUAUAAAUGUUGUGUAAAUUGCGAUUGUUGCUCGAGAUAUUAUCUAAUAAAAAACCGUUUUAUGACUGUCAUCAAGUCAACUCGAUAUAGUGGGGGCAAGCGAACUUCUGGCCAAUAGAAACCGAGUUCUUCACAAUGUCUACUGCCAUCGACUUCAGUCCUUUCACACCGCGUCCCUGGUCAUCUAGGCAGGACUUAUUGCAGCAGUGUUGAAUGCGUCUCGAGCAACAUUCGCAUGUGGAUGUUGGUGUCACAAGACCACAAUAUAUAAAUGUAACCACUAGGUGUUAAGUAAGGUAUUUAUAAUGAGUGUCUCCAUGUUUACUGGCAAACUGUAGCUCAGGUUGGUCCCCCAUCCGUUUUGUUGUUGUAGGAAUGUGAACACAGGCAAGGACAAUUAUCUCUGAACGAUCAGAUAGUCGUGUAUUCUAAUCCAUCUUGUGAAUGACAAAAUAUGCCUAGAUUGGCUUACAUGCAAUUAUUGUCUUAAUGCACUAAUUCUCGGAGAUGAAUUGCACCUUAAGAGUAGGCGCACACCGUUGAUUUUUCGUCGGCCGAUAGUUUAGUCGGGCAGUUGAUCAGUAUGGGCAUGUAUGGGAGUGCGCACACUACGCCGAAUCGAUUUGACAGAUUCUUCAUACAAUUUAAAAUCGGGCACAACUAUCGGCCAACUAAAAAUCAACGGUGUGCGCCUACUCUAAAAGACCAACUGUAUACAGCGCUCGUCGCAGUCCGAGCACGUCACAAUAUCCUAUGAUUUAAGAGAAGUUACAUUUAUUUAGUACACUCAUUUAUUUUCUGUAACAACUAAUUUUUUAAGACUUAUCUACUAAGGCUUGAUUCACGUUGAAAGCGCGGGUGAGAAGUCGAAUCGUGUGCAAUGGUUCUAGGUUCAAGUGCGGCUCUCAUAUGGAUGCACAUUUCCAAAGUACCUACCUAACUAAAUAAAGUUCCCACGUUAUCUACAAACGCUUAUUUAACUCACAUUCACCCGAGAUUUUAAUGUGAAUCGCGGUAGAAGAUACGUCAUGAAAAAUUCAAAAUUUUGUAGCUACAGUAGUUUUGGUCUGACACAUGAGCUUAUAUACUUUUAUACCAAUCUAGGUAAGUCUACGAUUUGUUCCAUUAUCAGAUGUUUAAAUGUAGCAAUGAAAUGUGUGGACUUCAUUCCUGUGUAAUGUAUGUGUCAGCUACACCCCGGCUAUAGUUCCCUAGUCAGCCCUCGCCGGAGUGCAGUCCACACAAUGGGGCGGUGUUAGCGCGUAAGGAACGAAUGACUGUUGUAUAAUGGUUCGACCACGACUCGAUGUAAGAUUUGUAUGCAGGGAUCGAUAGGAAACGAUUUAAAUGUCUGAAAAUAAAGCUAGUCAUGUGUUUA